Long non-coding RNA from Ictalurus punctatus (channel catfish), 1712 nucleotides. RefSeq lists it as uncharacterized. The transcript is spliced from 3 exons. Lineage: Eukaryota; Metazoa; Chordata; Actinopteri; Siluriformes; Ictaluridae. The record is from RefSeq and is a predicted model, not a curated record.
ACCACAGACACAGAUACAUUAGAGACAGAGAGAACUGAGAGAAGGAAAGAAAGAGAGGAAAACAUUUUGUCAUCUUCAAAUUUUUAUAUUAUUUGUUUUAUUCAGCCAUAAUUACUAAAUAGUCUUACAGCAUUGGAACUGUGGACCAUACCUGUCUUAUUAAAAAAUGGGCAAAAUGUCUUUCGAGGUCCAUCCACCCACCAAAUCUGACAAGCCUUGUUGAGGCUGUCUGGUUCAUCAGAAGCAAGCAAGACGGACAUAUUUUCCAGAAUACACGUGCAGAAUUUCUUUACAAGACGUUUGCACAGUACUGUACAAUAGGGUCUGAAACUAAUGUCUGGCCCACCACCUGCCAGUUGCAAGUAAAAUGUUGGCAAAGGUAUCUUGAUGUAUUCAGUGAAGGUGGGUUUAUGAGUGUUUGAAGAGGAGACAAUGAACUGACUGCCAAAAUCAUCUUCCCUCAGCUGUACUAUCAAUGACAUCCACAUCUGCAGAACAGUUAUAUGCACAGACACACUUGAGUCAUUUGAUGGACGUUUGCCUCUUUUCCUACUAAUUAUUCAUUUUCAAAGCGGUGGCUCAUCUAUACGAGCAGGUGGGGCAGAGCUCCACCACAUAUAUCAGCCAUUCAACAAAUGUUAAUCUUCAUAAAGUCCUCAUCAAUAAAUUCACAGAUUUUAAAUGCUGUUGAAAUACUAAUUACCUCUUUUGAGUGACCAACAAAGGUUAAAAGUUUUUUGCUAAUUGACAGAUAUAAGCCGAUGUUCUGUUGAUUUGCUCACCUUUGUAAAUGAUGAACUGCCCCAUUUAGCUGGAGUUAUUAUUGCACCUAGUGGUUAACAAUGGGAACUGCAGCAAGUGUUAAUAGAGGCCCAUUGUGCCAGGAGUUGCACCGCCCCAUUCUCAAUCUACGAUCAGUCUUGGUGCGCUCAGGACAUUUGAUGACAGGAAUACCAGGGUCACAUUUUUUAUUCAAAAUUGGGAUUAUUUUAGAAUACUCUGCAGCUGCCAAGAUCUUGUUUUAUAGCAAAUAAUCAUUAAUAGAACUAAUACAUUUGUGAAACAUUAAAACUAAAACAUUAUCCAUUUCUGUUGUAAGAUAUAUUGAAAAGAUUGGGAGAGGGAAAGGGGGUUAUGGCAUGGAUAAUGUUUAUUCAGCAGAAAUGUGUGUGCACCUCAGUGAACUUGUUUCCCAUGCAAAGUCUAAAAAGAAAAGAAAGAAAAAUGUCUCGCAUUUCCUGUAAAUUUUGCCCAAACUUGGCAACACUGAUUAAUGAUAUUCCCUCUUAUGUGUUCAUGUCAACACACUGUGACAAUAGUGAUGGGAACACACUUGCUCUAUCAAACACAACUGAACAAAGGUACAUUGAAAACUGAUCAAAACAAGCUGAUAGUCCGGAUACUGUAUGGCUGUACUGUAUGUUGUUGACUGUCAAACGCCUAUUACAGGGUUACUCUAAAAAUUUGCUAGAUAGUAGCCUAUAGCAUAAUUAAGUUUUACUGCCUCUUAAUUUUGUUUGGGGCUACAUCCUUAUUAAGGUCAUCCUACCCCACCAAAAUGUAAGGUCAUGAGCCAGUGCUGAUUAAUAGUAUUAAUUCAUAUAGCUGACACUACACAAUAAAGAACAUCUAUUAUAACACUGGAAUUUUGCUGUCAAAUUUUUUAAAUGUUUCUUGUGUAGCUGUAACACUAAGUUACCUCUCUUGUGUGG